Girardinichthys multiradiatus is the source of this 3269-nucleotide long non-coding RNA. RefSeq lists it as uncharacterized. Lineage: Eukaryota; Metazoa; Chordata; Actinopteri; Cyprinodontiformes; Goodeidae. The record is from RefSeq and is a predicted model, not a curated record. The transcript has 2 exons.
CUAAGAAGAAUAAUAACAAACAAACGAGUCAAAACCUUAACUGUGAAAAACAUAAGAGACCCGAAACCAAAAACCAAACAACCCUACAUCAUGACAGAGAGAUCAAGUAAAUAUUUGACAGAUCACAUUUGGGAAAUAUUUAAAACUUUAUUUCUGGUUCAGAUAAUAUUUCCCUUUUUCAACAUAGAAUUAGAUUGUUAAUUGAUUUUGGAAUUACAUUUUUUGUUUAUGCUUUUCUUACCCUAAGUAAAUCAUUAGAAAAUUGUGACUCUUCAUUUUGAUAAACAUGCAGAAUCUUCUCACUUCUUUAACUGUGCAACAGAGAUCGAUCAGACUCCAUACUCCAGAACUGAUUUCUGAUUUCCAAAAACUUUAAAGAACUUAGACCUCUCCAUAGCUGUUACAAUUAUUUCAGCAACAUUUUUUACAUCUGUUUUUUUAAUUUAACUUUCACAUCAUAACAGGCAUAAUUAAUCAGGGUAGUGGAGUUCAUUGUCUGAUAUACCAAACACAGCUGCUUUAAUUUGACAGCUUCCUGAAUUGCAAAACACAUUAAAUUCUACAUUUCAUUUUGUUGUUUCAGUAAAUUCACUUUAAUCAGGUGUGUAGAGAGUGCCAGUAGGAUCUGAAUGUAUAAACUAGACAGAAGAAGUGAAGGACACUUUUCUUAUUUACAUUUUUCAAAAGCAGGUAAAAUGUGAGUAAUCUCCAGGUUAUGCCUGAAUAAAUGUGGUGUCUUGAAACUACCUAUCUUUUCAACUCUGCAAUCUUUUAUCUUUGUCUUUGCUCACAUUUGGGUCUUGGCACGUGACGUGUGACGCUGUUAGAACACAGUAGAGAAGGAACUGUGCAGACAACUGCUGCUUUGACAGAUGUGUCAAACAGAGCUGUUUCAAACUAACAAUUUCAAGCGUUUUUGAAAGAGUAAGCCAUACAUACGGUUGCCAGAUCUCUGCACCAGAAAGUCUCUUAUGCAUGCAGGAUGUUAUUUCCAUUUCUUGGACAAUAUCUCGGCAUUUUUGUGUUUGCUGUUUCACAGACUGUUGGCAUCUUGGUAUGUUGCCUGCAAAUGCUAAUCCAGAAAUGAACAUCAUUAACCGCUCAUAACAAUAUUUUUUUAUAAAUUUUUUUAACCUGUCUUAUCAAGUGUCUGAUUUAAAGGAACUAUUUUCAUACAUUUCAAACUGAUUUACAGACUCAUCUAGUGUCUUUUUAAGGCCAUUUCAUUUAAAUCAAGUAACGUGUGCACCAUCCAAAAGUCUCAAAGCAGUCUGUCUGUAUUAAGCUCAACAAAAACAUAACUUUUGUAAAGUUGAAGAUAAAUAUGUUCAUGUGAAGGCUUUUAUGGAUUAGGACCUAUCAUGUCAGUUCAACAUCUAUAAACAGAAAGAAAAAAAAAACAUGAAACCACCAUGUCAAUAAAAACGCUUGUUAAAAACCAAGAAGUAUCAAACAGGCCCACAUUUUGCCCAUCUGGUUCCAGUAAUGGCUUCACCAAUGGUAAAUAUAUCUCAGAUGUGGAUUUUACUUUUUUGAUUACUUCAACUUCAGAAAAUCUAUGGCAAAGCUCCAAAUCCGUGCAAUUAAGAGGUGAUUUAAAAGAAGGCGUCCAUAUCACUUGCUAAGAAAGGGUAAAUUUAUCUUUCACUUUUUUAAUUCUUUCAAAGAAAACACCUUGGAGGCUGGACAACAAGUAAGUUAGCAUCUUUUAAUUCUAACUGAUUAAUUAAAUUUAUACAUCAGCCCAUAUACUGCUAAUUCUCAACUGAGCACUAGGGGCUGAUCUAUUAUUACAAGGAUGUCCAGUCCUGAUUCCUGGUAUUGACUUGGGGACCCGAGCAAGGCAUUUUUAAAUGAGUAGUAUUGAAGUCCCUUUUGCUCUUGGUCUACUGUAUGUGAUUCUGCCCAAAUAUCCCAAGAAAACAAGGCAGAUAUGUUUUGCCAAGCCAUUGUUUUCAAACCUGUUUACUUUCAUGUGUACAGUUUAUUAAACCAGAUUAUUGUGGGUUAGGCAUAUUGUAUUAAUAAAACAAGUUUGGGUGUUCUUAAACAAUCUAAGGGCUGAUCUAGUAAGAUUCCAAAAAAGGAGUGCUAAAUUGCGUGUUAAAAAUAAUGCACAUCUUGGGGUUCCUCCUAUUUCGAUAUUUCACCCACAGCUUUCUCAGUGAUUGUACGUUAUUCCUUCAGGAGCAGGCAUUGGCUGUAUCGAUCGUGCCAACAUUGGAUAAUGACAGAACUGGAUUGUUAAUAUGAAGAGAAUUUGAUCUAAAGAAAGUUAUUGGGUUAAAAUGAGCUUCGGUGUGUAUGAAGAAAAAAAUUAUGUUACACCAACUUUUAAAGAAUUUAACACAAGAUAGAUACCAUGCUGACAAACAGAAGGCUUAAAACAGCCAAACUGGAAAAUUGGUAUCUAGCUCAUUACCUGGAUCUGAUGAGAAAGCUCUCUGAUGAGUCGUAUCCUGAGUUUACUGACAUUGGCCCAGCGGAAGAGUUCCCUGUCUGGGCACUUGUUGGUCAAAUCAAUCAGAUGCUGAUGUUGGGGACCAGCCAUGGAUUAAAACAUGGAUAGAACAUGGAUGAACCUUACACAAUCAAAGGUUGAUAUAAACCUCUUUGCACCUUUAAAAAUCACACUAACCUACAACUAAUGCAGUCCAGAAAGAGGAGGAGUCAGAGCUGGAAUCCCUGAACAAAUACACUAUCCCUACUUCCGUUCAUUCUCAUUUAACAAGACUCUCAGCCGAGGUCAGACAGGAGAGGCACUGCGCGUGAAUGUCUCCUUGCAACCGAAAAGGCAUAACUCUUCAACUCCACAGCGGCUACGAUCCGAUAGUCGAAGGCCCACCGAUUGAGUGCAACAAAGUUAAGUAUUGAUCAGCUGUUUAGAUAAUCCAGCGCUCAUAUGUAAGUGGGGUGAUUGAGACAAGCCUGGCUUGACUUUUCUCCUACACAGGAGCAACCUGCAUGCCAGAGAGUUCCCAGCACAGAUGUCUCGGUUCCCAGCAGAGAAGCGGUUUUCCCCCUGCCUGAAAGAGGACAGUGUAGGAGAUGCAAGCAUUGCACGCCUUCCAAUUCUCUACAGGAUUCAAGGCAGGAGGAGCUCGGCUGGGCCGCUACAAAAUGUUAACAUUUCUUCUUGUUAGAAUAAAUAGGUUGGUAAAAUUUUCAGAUUCUUUUAAACCUAAAUCUGCCAGAGGUAUGAACCACUCUGUUCUUAACUGUAUGUAUUGUUAGCUUGGAAAAUACUGUAAAUAAAUGACUAUAAACUC